RNAcentral lists this ribosomal RNA (460 nucleotides) under uncultured bacterium. RNAcentral describes it as "partial 16S ribosomal RNA". It matches the Rfam family "Bacterial small subunit ribosomal RNA", at positions 338 to 795 of the family's 1533-position model. The record is from RNAcentral.
CCUACGGGUGGCAGCAGUGAGGAAUAUUGGUCAAUGGACGAGAGUCUGAACCAGCCAAGUAGCGUGAAGGAUGACUGCCCUAUGGGUUGUAAACUUCUUUUGUAAAGGAAUAAAAGGAGGUACGUGUGCCUUUUUGCAUGUAUUUUACGAAUAAGGAUCGGCUAACUCCGUGCCAGCAGCCGCGGUAAUACGGAGGAUUCGAGCGUUAUCCGGAUUUAUUGGGUUUAAAGGGAGCGUAGGUGGGUGGUUAAGUCAGUGGUGAAAUCUCGCGGCUCAACCUGAGAAUUGCAAUUGAUACUGGUCGGCUUGAGAGUAGUUGCGGUAGGCGGAAUUCAUGGUGUAGCGGUGAAAUGCUUAGAUAUCACACAGAACCCCGAUUGCGAAGGCAGCUUACUAAGCUAUGACUGACGUUGAUGCUCGAAAGUGUGGGGAUCAAACAGGAUUAGAUACCCUAGUAGUC